UAACACAUUACUUACAUUGGAUAUGUAUAUUAAUUAACUAACAGACACAGAUAUAGAUAUACUAUGUAUGUAUGAAUACAUAUAAAUAUAUGUAUGAAUAUUUAAAUCGGAUGAUAAGUUGUUAAUUGAUGUACGUUCUUGUGUGACUUCAUCGUCUUCAGCUUUGCCAGAUAAAUAUUUGACUGUCCACUGAUUUGGAAUAGACCAGUAGUUCGUGACUAAAAUCUGUGGAGCAUUUGAUUGGUUUGAAUAGGUCUGCAAUAGAGAUAUAAUAUAAUAAUUAUUAUACUAGAGAUUCAUAACAACAUACAUUCAUCAAUACAUACACACACACACACACACACAUAUAUAUAUAUAUAUAUGUAACGUACCAUUUUUUUUUUCUUUAACAGUAUAAUUUAAGACAAUUCUAUAAACCAUCAUACAACUUUCAUGUCAAAUCAAUCACACACAAAAAAAUAUUUUCAUACUUUAUUAUUUAAAAUUAAUAUAAAUUUACAAUUCUACAUAUAGAUAAUACAAUCUCAUACACUUCCAGCAGACAUUAUCUAAACUACUAUAAAUUUUUACACACUACAAUCCGCCCACAAAUAAAAUCCUUGUCCUAUGGCACUAUAUACUAAGCUCAAAAAUUAGUAACUCAAAUCCUGACUCUAUUCUUAUUUCAUCUAUUAAUGAUAAAGAGUGAGUUCACAUAAUUCAAUACAGUAAAAAAUUAAGUUGCAAUUAUAAUAUACAAUAACAGAAAAUUCAGUAUGUCUAUAUGCAUUUCAUCUGCACAAAUCUAAGCUAUAACUUAGAGCCACCCUAGAACUAUUCAUCAUUAACUUAUCCCGAAACUAGUUGUGGUUACCAAUAACACAUGCAACAACAGGAAACCCAGUAUUCCCAUAUGUACCCUAUCUAUACAACCUAAGUCCUACUUUAAUAUCACCCCGGGACUAUACCGAAUCAACUUGUCCCGUUAAGUUAGUUAUAUUGAUAUCAAAUGUGACUGCCUUCCAAAGUCACCCCAUUAGUACAAAUGUUCUCACUCGUCACCAAUAUCGGCGACCAACACUCAAUUUUCUAUAUCUUGACCCCUAAUAGGCCACACACACACAGAGAUACCAUCAUCUCCUGUCACCAACAUUGACGACCCAACCCCUUGCCCGUUGGGGUCUCCCGACCAUCACCACUAUCGGCGAUCAACCUACUUUUUCUAGGUAGCGACUACCAAUAUCGGCGUCUCCCAAUACUUCCAACUCAAGGACCAUACCAUCCCGUACUCGUUUCACCAUGUUAUAUUGAGGCUCCCCUAUUCCUUUACCCUGUAUACCGACCCUACACACAUCUCCCUGUAUGACACACACUAACAUUUUACACAUACGUCGGUAAUGUUCCCUCGCCAACCCUUAAAUUUAUAGCAGCUAUACCAACCUAUAUACAACCCACACUCUCACACCACACAACUACCAACACACUCCUACUCCUAUACCUUAAACCACACCUUACAGGCCUCUCUUUUCUUUUCCCAAUUUCUAGCAUCUACACUAUUCUCCCCUUCUAUACUUACCUCUCCCUACCGUCAUACCGCGCCUCCCCUCUUACCCGAAACUCUUCACACACAUCGAACUCCUCUUCUACAGCCCACUCUAAAGACUCCUUGCACAGUCAUGAACUCUCCUCUCUAUCACAGAUCUCACACCCUGCUUUCCUUCUUCUUCUACCUCCCACGACCUGUUCAAAAUAUCACAACUCACAAACUCACCACUCAUAUCUCUCACAGAACACUAAUUGAAUGCAUUCUUCCUUCUCUUUCCUUCUGCGACCUCCUCCGCGCACCUCGCUCGCACACACACAAACUCUAUUCGCCAUCACAGAUCUCACUCACUCACCGACCUCCUCGGUUACUCUCUCUUCCCGCGACCUUCACCAUGUGCUUACACUCAUUUUACAUAAAAUAUCCACCCUCUCUCAUAGACCUCUCCCACACUCAAAUGUCUUCAUUUUCUCUCUUCCCGCAGCCUCCUCCGUGAACGCCUCAAUUGUUCAACCUGCCAUCAACACCUGCCUGUAUCUAUAUCUUAGUUCUGUUACUCUACAUACUAACCAAAACCUAUAUUUCUCAACCUAAAAUCACAAUCUCGAAUCGCUCCACUCCUAUACAAUAACUCAAAAUUUUAACGUACCUCCCAUCUCCAUCUUUUUUCCUCCCAUAGCUCGCACUGUUCCGGUCAUCCUUCCUGUUCACUCUCUUUUCUCGUUUCUCUCCAAUCCAGCUACUCUCUCUCUCUCUCUCUCGAACCUUCUCUUCCUGCCCCCGAUCUCUCUCUUUUCUGUUUUAUUUCUUUUCC
RNAcentral lists this long non-coding RNA (2336 nucleotides) under Carica papaya (papaya). RNAcentral describes it as "long non-coding RNA (CPAP_LNC009704)". Lineage: Eukaryota; Viridiplantae; Streptophyta; Magnoliopsida; Brassicales; Caricaceae. The record is from RNAcentral.